UACGGAGGGGACUAGCGUUGUUCGGAAUUACUGGGCGUAAAGCGCGCGUAGGCGGGCUGGUCAGUUGGGGUGAAAUCCGAGGCCUUAACCUCGGAACUGCCUUCAAUACUGCCAGUCUUGAGUUCGGAAGAGGUGAGUGGAAUUCCUAGUGUAGAGGUGAAAUUCAUAGAUAUUAAGGAAGAACACCAGUGGCGAAAGGCGGACUCA
This 207-nucleotide ribosomal RNA is filed under the name uncultured bacterium. Its description in RNAcentral is "partial 16S ribosomal RNA". It matches the Rfam family "Bacterial small subunit ribosomal RNA", at positions 524 to 728 of the family's 1533-position model. The record is from RNAcentral.